UGUCAGUUUUAACAAAUAUGUACAAAAAGAAAACAUAUGGUUUAUACAAGUUAUCUACUGAAGCCUUCAGUGUUUCAAGUUACCUACUGAAGCUUCAAUGUUUCAUGUCAUAUGACCUCCUUGGGACAUAAGAAGUUAGGGGAUGAGGUUUUAGGCAGCAAAGAGCAAAAUGAGGGCUUAAAGAUGGCAGAAUAAACAGUUGGUUAGAAUAACAGUUUGAAAAUGCAAACACUCUUGUUGUGGCACACUAAAUUGGCUUCUCUAACUCAGUUGUCUUUCUUUAAAAUGCUGUGGGACAUAUUGAAACCCUUAGUUUGUUCUCUCUUUUAACUAAUAAUCAGCCCCUCUACACUGGGCCUCCUUGUAUCCCUCCUCUCCUGCCAUGACAGCCCCUGCUUACCCACAGCUGCAAUGCAGCCCUCUGUGUGGGAAUAACACACAGGGCUUUCUGAAGUCUGGAGAGUAUGGGAUUUGAUUUAAGUUUUUUUUUUUCAGAUCUACGGAAAAUAUGGAAAAAUAUUUUUAUUUACAUCUAUCUAGAAUAGAUGGAAUAUAUAUUCAGGCAUCUGCUGGUCCGUCUGUCCAUCCGUCCGUCCAUCCAAACUAAUUGUACCGACCGUGCUGCCACUCCUUCUCUCUAAUUUUUGCCAUUUUUGCUCAUGCUGACAUUUAAAAACACGACUGCUUUAAAGAUGAAGGAUUAGUGCCUUUUCAGGAUUCCAAAAGAGUGAAAGUAUGCAUCAGACAGGAGACAUUACAAUACUGCCAAAAGUUUUUGGUAUUUUUGGCCAAAUAUAAAAAUGCUGAUAGAUAAGAGGCUUGGCACUUUAGUCAAUGUCUUUGCAGCAUCCCCUUUUCCUGAAAUAGGUUGCAGGAGUAAAUAACUACUAACCUGUAUUUUAGAAAUCUCAGAAAGCCACACCCAAUGAUGGUAUUGUACAGCAAUACAUUAUUAGCUUGCAUUGUUAAUGAUAGGAAGUUUAGUCAGUGAGUGGAACAAUAGCUGUAGUUAAGUUGGAUGUGAUGUAAUUCCCACAUCCAAAAUUUAUUUACAGGAGUAAACAAGAUUCAGCUUUUAUGUACAAACCUACUAGAAGCGUUCUAUUGGUCAAAUCCGAAAAUCCUGGACAAAAUUUGAUAAAAUUCUGAAUGAUUUAUGGCUUCCUCUUUGAGGUAUACAGAAAGAUGAUUUGUCAACAUUAAUUUCACUGACUAGGCAUUGAUAAUAAAAGGUUUGAAAAUCAUAUGCAACAUCGCUUUAAUUUUUUGUCUCUUAUUUCUGUCUCUUGAGGAUACUCUUCAUGCCUGUGGUCAUGGCCCUGGAGACUCUGGAUUCCUACUGCUAAACAAUUCAUUGACUUAGCCUUGUAUAAAUCUGCCUGGGUGGGAAACAAUUUGUGGGUGAUUACAUGUUUCUUGCAUUCAUUCCAGUGGAUCCAGCAUACUCCCGUUGGAUUUACAUAUUCACAAAGCUUCAUGAAAUCUCUAAACAGAUAACUUUUUUUCUGUGCAUAAAAUAAUCAAAGAUGUAUGACUUUCAGGUUUCUCACUUAAAGUUGAACAUCAUUUUAUGUUCACUUAGUGAAGCUCAAUUCCAACCAAGCCAGGUGAUUUCAUUUUGCCUACUGAUCUCAGAGGUCAGAGAGGGUGUAUGGUUAGGGGCCGGGGUAAUAACUUACUGAGGUCACACACUCCUCUAAAACAGCAAAACAAGCCCCACAUCAAGGGAGCUUUGAGAAGGAAAUGAGCAACAAAAGAGAAGCACACAGCAGGAGUCAGUGAAGCCACAUUUCCAAUGUAUUAAUAUAUUUCAAAAUAACGCACACUUAUAGUGGAUUAUGAGAAAGUUUUGAGUGAAAGACAAGGUGGCUGGUAAAUGGUUUAUUUUCUUCAAUUUUUAAAAUGUGUACAAACAUGACAAAUAAAGGAGUGGUUUGAGUUAUAUAAAAGCUGAAAUCUGAAUGAGAACAUUACCUUUUUAACAGCAAAAAUGGAACUGGUGCUUUGGCUAAAAAAAACAUCCUUAACUCAGAGGUUGUCGUUUUCAUUCAGACUUUGGUUUUCUUUCAUCUAAAAGCAAGCUCCGCUGACCAAAGAGCUAUUUUAAUACUGGACACACAGGCUGGAACUCCCAAGCUUGAAGCAAACUCUGCUCUAAUGGACAUAACAUUACCCAGUGAGAAAAUGAAAACGCUAAAACACAAUGCAAGUAAUGCAAUGCAGAAAGAGAGCUUCAUGUGGUUGUAAAUAAUAGUCUGGAGUUGUUUCAACAAUAACAGCCCUCUGAAACCAGAGCCAUAUUAACAAACCUCUAGAUUUCCCCUCACUGAAAGGAUGUUUUUCUCUCCGCUCCGUUGGGAAACACUGUUGUAGUGAUGGGAUAAGUUGUCACAUUUAGCUAGUUGUGUACAACGUGGAGGUCCAUCUUGCUUCAAUUAAAAGCUCCAACACGUCUGGUUUUGAUUAGGGGUCCUGGCAAACCCAAGGUGAUUCCUUUCUUAAUGAAAACCACCAUAGAGGUUGAGCAGUGCUAAAAAAACUGGUUAACAAAGAAUAAUAGUUGAGAAGAGAAGGUAUCUUGCUCUCAUCCUUCUUCCUAGGCCAUUUCCUUCCUUCUGGCCUAUAUAGUUUACACGCCAGAUGGACAGACAUAACAAUAAUGUGGGUGACGGGGGAAGGUGCUGAAUGGUUCAUGAAAUACAUCCGUCUCCUUCUAACACUUCUUUAUCCAGCUUCAUUCCUGCAGAUUUUGCCUCAUUCCCCGCUUGUUCAUUCACCUCGCUCUUCUCCAUCCCUUUAAGCUUCGUGUGGGUUUUUAUGAAGCCACUCUGUCUCACCAGAAGCAGACUUCUGCUUCUGGUUAGAGGGCCUGAAGAUUUGCUCCAGAACGUUGGUCUGUUUUUUGAGAUUUGAGACUGAACCAUUGGUUUCCAUCCUUGGCCACACAGUCACCUCAUCCCUCAUCAGGAGACCAAUGGUAUUUAUUAUUUCCAAUACCACUACAUCUUAUCUUGCGACCUUGUCACACUGUAAGUUCAGAUUCCAGGAGGACCACUACCACAGAUGCUGAAUCUAAACUGUUAGGCUCGUUGUACAUGCUGAGACUGACAAAGCUCUUCAGUGAAGAGGAUCUUCAGCAAGGAGGGAGGUAAUGGGUAACUGACAGACAGUGACGGGAUAAUGUAUGGCCCUCUAGUAUCAUAUACGUCACAGUAUGCUUCAGUAGCCACAAGACUUUCUCCAACACUGUGUUUUGGCCUCUGUAAAGGUCAUGAAAAUGUGUUGCGGAACAGGAGUGGAGAAAUUUGUUUGGAGCCAAAGGCAGACGGAAAGUUUGGAUGGGAAAAGAUGCACACCGCAGUGUCGUCUCCUAACAUUGGGCGUUUCUCAAAAUGUGGUCGUCCAUAGGGCGGCACGUCUGUGUCUCACCGCCCUCCAUCUCAGAGCUCAAAGGAGAGGAAGCCUGGAGAAGACAGGACAAUAAAAUAUGACGAUGACAAACCCACAGACGGACUCCAUCUGAUAGACUUAAAAAGUAUUCAGGAUGCAUGAUGCAUUCUGGACGUUGACAAAGACCCAUCCCAUCAUUGAAGAAUACAUUUCAAAAGCAAAAAGGAAUAAUUAAGGCUCAAAACUUUGUGAUAAAGAAAAAUUGAACAAUGUGUGUAAUGUGAGUAAUGUCUGGGAUCUUGCUUAGAAGUCCAUGAAAAUGUGUAAUCAUAAAGUGUUUGAAAGAAAAACUUAAA
Long non-coding RNA from Xiphophorus hellerii (green swordtail), 3746 nucleotides. RefSeq lists it as uncharacterized. NCBI's taxonomy places the organism in Eukaryota, Metazoa, Chordata, Actinopteri, Cyprinodontiformes, Poeciliidae. The record is from RefSeq and is a predicted model, not a curated record. The transcript is spliced from 2 exons.